AGCAAUUUCGUUAUGAGCAGAUCUGUAGAAAUUAGUCAUGUCAUUGUCCAGCUCAGUUCAGUUCUCAUUCUAAUGGCAUCAGUUCAUCAUUCAUAAUAAUGGAAUGAACAAAAUUCCACUGAAUAUGCUGUUUGUUUUUUAUUUGUUUCCAGGAGAGCAUCAACCCAUUGAAAAGUGUUCAACAUACAGUCUCCCACUCUUUGCAACAGAGGAAGCAUUAGGAAAGAGGAGAAGAGAGACAGUGAAAAAGCACUCGACAGAUGUUGAGGGUGUUCGGGUUCCUUGCCACUGCUGACUUUUGGCUUUCUUAUUUAGCGGGGCUUGGUUGGGAACGUGGACAUGAAGGAGAGCAAGCACGUCACGUUAAGAUCUUAUGUCUCCAGUGUAGGCAGCCGCCAUUUUCUCAUCGUGAAAGAAGCGAGAAGCGAGUGAAACACAUUAUGGUAAGUAAAGAUUCCAAAUGUAAAGUUAUCAUUUAUUGUUUACCCAGUUUUAUGAAAGGCAGAAGGUUUUAAUCAAAGGCGGAAAACAAAGGAGCUUAACAUUAUAUUGAAAAAUACACGGACGUGGUUUUCACCUCAGAAACAGAGGUAUUAACGGCCUCCUUUAGCAUUACUGAACGGAAGAGGUACUUUAAAUAUAACGUCCGUGAAUGUCUUGUCAUAUUUACAUAAUAUUUUACAAUUUUGAGGUGUCAAUAGAUGGUUAUGGUUAACGUUACACUCAUGUUAAUUUGUUAUCUUAUUUUUCGCGGUUAAACUUAAUGUACGUAA
This is a long non-coding RNA of Carassius auratus (goldfish), 773 nucleotides long. RefSeq lists it as uncharacterized. The record is from RefSeq and is a predicted model, not a curated record. The transcript has 3 exons. Lineage: Eukaryota; Metazoa; Chordata; Actinopteri; Cypriniformes; Cyprinidae.